Molecule: ribosomal RNA, 2831 nt
Filed under: Triticum aestivum (bread wheat)
Lineage: Eukaryota; Viridiplantae; Streptophyta; Magnoliopsida; Poales; Poaceae
Description: partial small subunit ribosomal RNA
Source: RNAcentral
AUUUUGCCCAAUCCGCGCCUCGCAUCCCGCACCAGCCACCACCCAAACCCUAGCCCCGUUUCCCCUCGAUCCCCACAGCCCCCGCCUCCUCCAUCCCUCCUCCUCACCUCGCCAUGGCCUCCGCCCCGGAGCCUCGCCGCCGCCUGCGAUUCCUCCCUCCUGCCCGCAGAGCCCAUUGGGCUCGCCAACCCUAGCCCCAAUCCACAUCCCCCGCGCCCCUCACUGGUCCCUCCUCCUCCUUCCCUCGUCUGCCGCCUCGCUCCCUCGCUCUCCUUCCUCGUCGCCGUGGCCUUUGGCCUAGGAGCCCCGCCGCCUACAGCUCCUCCUCCACCACCUCGCCUCUUUCUCCUCCUCGCCUUUCCAUCGCUCGCGCGCAGGUCACCACUGUCGGAGAACACGGGAGUGCGGGUCUUCAAGUUGGGGUGGUCAGGAGGGCUUCCCGACCUGACGGCGCCUCCUCCUCCUCGCAGCGUCGUCGCGCGUACACCUUCUUCUCCUCCCUCCUCCCUCCCUCGUCACUACUUCCACCAGUCCCCUCCCUUCCUCGUCCGUGGCCGCUGCUGACCCCUCCUCCGGCCUCCGCGUCUCUGCCCAGGCGGCAAGGCCCCCAGCCCCCCUCGGGCCUCGGCCCCUCCAUACAGCCCGCUUCUGCCUCGUCCAACUCGCUGCUUAGCUCCCAAGGCUCGGAGGGCAGCGGGCGCGGCAGGCUCGGCAGGCAGCGGGCGCGGUGGUCAAGGCCAGGGGCGCGGAUUGGGGAGAUGCGCACACGAGGAGCGACGGCGACCGCGUCUGCCGCCAACACCGAGAUCAGCUCUUCGUUCUUUCAAGCCCUAUGUUGCUUACUCAAAUGCUUGUGGCGAUUGUAUCCUUGUGCCAUGAAUAUUUGUACUUAGCAGAUCAAUAUAAACAUAUUGGCUAUCUAUUUACCAAUUCAGAAUUUAAAGCACUUUAUUUUAUGGCCUUGAGUAAAAGUUCAGUCGUUGUUGGCUGGAAGACAUCUUCAAUACGCUGUCUACACGAGCUUCCCAAGGUAAUGAUCUAAGAGGAAGUGAGUUGGAGAUGAGAUGGGGACAGAAGAUCCUGCAGUGAUGUUGUUUCUUUGUUCUCCUGCUCAAGGUUUGCUCUUUCCUACUUACUGUCAUGGUGGUUGGUUCACUGCUCGUUUUAUUGUUUCGGAAUUAGCCGCCUGUCGUGUUUUGAUUUGCCUCGUGCUGCUUAUAUUUCGUGUUUGCGUGUGGGAAGGAUGUGUGCUAUAGAUUUUGUGUGUGCAUCUGAGAUACCUAGAAUGGUUGAGAACUGAAUGUGUUGCCCUAUUUAAUUGGCAUAUUCAACUUAAUUAAUACGCCUUUUAGCCGUGACUUCUGCCCAAACUUUUGAAAGUGCAGAUGAUCACUCUAUCGGGUAAUGGUGUUUUCUAUUGCAAUUUGUCAGCUAUACUACAUGCUGCCCCUGUUUCUUUUGCUCUGCUAAAAAUGUGUGCUUACUUUCAAUCUUAUUACAUCAAUAGACUUGUGGGCGUAUAGUAUUUCUGUAAUCUCUGUGCCUUACCGGUUUUGUGAUUUCAGCUCAGGUGGAUGAGCCCCGUCCUGUGUUAUUCCCCUUGGUUUCUGAAGCUCCCAGGAUUUAAUAAUGAGUUGUCUUGGGCUUCAUUGGACAAAUGAUCUACCUUGAGCAAUGAUACAUCUCAGGUGGAUGAUCCCCGUCCUGUGUUAUUCCCCUUGGUUUCUGAAGCUCCCAGGAUUUAAUAAUGAGGUGUCUUGGGCUUCAUUGGACAGAUGAUCUACCUCGAGCAAUGAUACAGGUUGGCGUUGAAGCAUGAUGGCGUUUUUCUUGCAGCAAAUCUUGGCAGGAAGACUCUGAAGUGAUAAUCUUAAAUUUGCCAUUUACCGACAUUUUCCAGUUUCUUGUUUGACUUGCCUUUUCUUGGAUGCGAUGAUAAGGGAACUAAGAAUUGCGUGCACUAUUGCUCAAAUGGAACAUAAGGGAGGUAUCAGUCCUCAAAUGUUGCCUCUAGAACAAAAGUAACGCUCAAAAGCCUGAAUAGAAUUCCUUGGGAAAGGGUAGAUGUUAGCUUCAAGAGAAGUAGACAAUGGAUUUUUGCCCAUAGCACCAUUCAGCCCUACCGCUCCUGAGCCCAAAUCCCAUGACCAUGCCCCCACCUCUCCUUUGUGGAAUGAAGGGAGUCUAGUUGCUAAAAAGCCAUAACACAUCUUUACAGGUAAGUUUGUUCUCUAGAUAGUUCUCUUUCCAAGAUUUUCAUAUCAUAUUUGUUGUGGGAUCUGACUGCUUUACCAUAUUUUCCUGGUGUGGACGAUGUUAUAGAGUGAGCUACCAUCACUUCUCAUUACUGACUGUAAUCAAUAUAUAUGUGUUUAUGCCAUAAAAGAUGGAUAUUUGUCGAAGCCAUUGUCGUGUCAUGUAAUUACCUGGAGAUCAGCUAUAUAGUUUUGUUCGGAUUAUAUAGUGGAAACGACAACUCCCGUGUGAUUGUCAUUUGAUUAUUUACUUCCUCAAGUAGUAUGGAUAUGGUGCUGCCAGGAUAUUAAGUAUAUUCAUGAAGUUGUAUAAACCACGUUCUACGAUUCACUUCUGUUAUGCAUAUUUAUUUUCCAGUUUUAGGACUGAAAUCCAUCCAUUGUAAUGAACUUGGUUGUAUGGGCAUUACCUAUUUGACUUACGCUUGCUUCAUCACAUAUAGACUGCUUUUCUUUUCCCCACUGCUUGUAUGACCUAAAACUAUCAUGUGUAUGAGGCAAGUUAUUAGCAAUGUUUCACAUUUUUUACUUGCAAUACUGUGCUUGCCUAUUUCAGGUGUUCCAAGACCCAAAUCA